UGAUGCGAUCAUACCAGCACUAAUGCACUUGAUCCUAUCAGAACACCACAGUUAAGUGUGCUUGGGUGAGAGUAGUACUAGGAUGGGUGACCUCCAGGAAAGUCUUCGUGUUGCAUCCC
RNAcentral lists this ribosomal RNA (119 nucleotides) under Arabidopsis thaliana (thale cress). The record is from RNAcentral. Lineage: Eukaryota; Viridiplantae; Streptophyta; Magnoliopsida; Brassicales; Brassicaceae.